This 497-nucleotide ribosomal RNA is filed under the name uncultured bacterium. RNAcentral's name for it is "partial 16S ribosomal RNA". It matches the Rfam family "Bacterial small subunit ribosomal RNA", at positions 28 to 507 of the family's 1533-position model. The record is from RNAcentral.
GAUGAAUGCUGGCGGCGUGCCUAAUACAUGCAAGUCGAGCGAACAGAUAAGGAGCUUGCUCCUUUGACGUUAGCGGCGGACGGGUGAGUAACACGUGGGUAACCUACCUAUAAGACUGGGAUAACUUCGGGAAACCGGAGCUAAUACCGGAUAACAUUUGGAACCGCAUGGUUCUAAAGUGAAAGAUGGUUUUGCUAUCACUUAUAGAUGGACCCGCGCCGUAUUAGCUAGUUGGUAAGGUAACGGCUUACCAAGGCAACGAUACGUAGCCGACCUGAGAGGGUGAUCGGCCACACUGGAACUGAGACACGGUCCAGACUCCUACGGGAGGCAGCAGUAGGGAAUCUUCCGCAAUGGGCGAAAGCCUGACGGAGCAACGCCGCGUGAGUGAUGAAGGGUUUCGGCUCGUAAAACUCUGUUAUUAGGGAAGAACAAAUGUGUAAGUAACUGUGCACGUCUUGACGGUACCUAAUCAGAAAGCCACGGCUAACUACGUG